Molecule: long non-coding RNA, 611 nt
Filed under: Elaeis guineensis (African oil palm)
Lineage: Eukaryota; Viridiplantae; Streptophyta; Magnoliopsida; Arecales; Arecaceae
Description: long non-coding RNA (EGUI_LNC007022)
Source: RNAcentral
GAAAGCUCUUGCCUCCUUUGGCCGUCGACAGUUGGUUCCAGCCAGAGAGACCCCACCACUUUUUCGUUCGAGCAGCGAGAUCCCACCUGAGAGACCCCACCUCUCGUCUCCGCCUCUCUCCAUCCCAAACCUCUUGGUCGUCUCCGGCCAAAACCAUGCCACCUCCAGCCGCCUCCGGCAUCGCUAUCCUGUCACUCGCUCGAGGAGUCCAUGAGGGAAUUCGUGCGGGUGGUGCAGCGGGAAGCGAAACGGCGGCGAAGGAGGAUUGAAUGUCGGAGGGACUUGGGAUGGGGCUGGAGGGGAGAGUAUCUGGUGAUGCAGCGAUGGGUCCCACGGCGGUGGGGUGGUUCACGACCCUCCAUUGCUGGAGUCGAUCCGUAGCUUGUGGGGCAUUUCCAUUGCCCAGCUGGGCUUGAAUUUUAGUGUGAUUUGAUUUAUCAUCCGAUCCAACUAUUUUUGAGGGGACGAUCCGAAUAAAUUUUUUCGAUCGUGCGGCGGGGCGCAGCCUCCAUGGUACAGAUUCAAUUCGUUUGUGGAUUUUGAUCCAUUUAGAUAUUUUAAUUUUUUCUUAUUAAUUUAUAAUAUAAAAAUCUGGUCCAAGAUUUUUUUUU